RNAcentral lists this non-coding RNA (30 nucleotides) under Cricetulus griseus (Chinese hamster). Lineage: Eukaryota; Metazoa; Chordata; Mammalia; Rodentia; Cricetidae. The record is from RNAcentral.
UCUGUUUAGUAACGUAGCGUCACGGGACAC